RNAcentral lists this microRNA precursor (95 nucleotides) under Olea europaea subsp. europaea. The record is from RNAcentral. Lineage: Eukaryota; Viridiplantae; Streptophyta; Magnoliopsida; Lamiales; Oleaceae.
CAUAUAUAUAUACACGGAUUUGAUCUCUUGCCAUAUUGAUCUCUUGCCAUAUAUAAAUAUGGCAAGAGAUCAAAUUCGUGUAUAUAUAUGUAUUC